GGCCAUAGCUCAGUGGUAGGGCAGCUGCUUUGCAUGCAGGCGGUCCCAAGUUCAAUCUCUGGCAUGUCCA
Podarcis lilfordi (Lilford's wall lizard) is the source of this 70-nucleotide non-coding RNA. Lineage: Eukaryota; Metazoa; Chordata; Lepidosauria; Squamata; Lacertidae. The record is from the annotation of a GenBank genome assembly.